AACGAACGCUGGCGGCAGGCUUAACACAUGCAAGUCGAGCGCCCCGCAAGGGGAGCGGCAGACGGGUGAGUAACGCGUGGGAAUCUACCCAUCACUACGGAACAACUCCGGGAAACUGGGGCUAAUACCGUAUACGUCCUUCGGGAGAAAGAUUUAUCGGUGAUGGAUGAGCCCGCGUUGGAUUAGCUAGUUGGUGGGGUAAUGGCCCACCAAGGCGACGAUCCAUAGCUGGUCUGAGAGGAUGAUCAGCCACACUGGGACUGAGACACGGCCCAGACUCCUACGGGAGGCAGCAGUGGGGAAUAUUGGACAAUGGGCGCAAGCCUGAUCCAGCCAUGCCGCGUGAGUGAUGAAGGCCCUAGGGUUGUAAAGCUCUUUCACCGGUGAAGAUAAUGACGGUAACCGGAGAAGAAGCCCCGGCUAACUUCGUGCCAGCAGCCGCGGUAA
Molecule: ribosomal RNA, 447 nt
Filed under: uncultured bacterium
Lineage: Bacteria
Description: partial 16S ribosomal RNA
Rfam family: Bacterial small subunit ribosomal RNA
Source: RNAcentral